Molecule: small nucleolar RNA, 84 nt
Filed under: Grosmannia clavigera kw1407
Lineage: Eukaryota; Fungi; Ascomycota; Sordariomycetes; Ophiostomatales; Ophiostomataceae
Source: RNAcentral
UGUCCCUGAUGAAAAACCUAUUAUUCAGUUCUGCUUCUGAACAUAGUGAUGACAACCAUACCAUACCAAAAACUUUUCUGAUCC